AAGAUGCUUUAUAGACAUGAAAUCUCUCCAGUCUUUAAUUCUAGUUUUUAACCAAAUCAAUUUAAUAGUGAAGCUCAACAUAGGACACACAUGUAAAACACUUCUACGGCUUGUAGCCUCUGUGAGUCCUCAUGUGCCGAGUUAAAUGCUGUUUUUGAAGAAAACUUUUUCCACAGCACACACAAGAAAACAGCUUUUCACCAGUGUGAAUCCUCAUGUGCCGAAUUAAAUUCUGUUUUUGAAGAAAACCUUUUCCACAGUUUCCACAUGAAAAAGGCUUUUCACCAGUAUGAAUCAUCAUGUGCCGAGUUAAAUGCUGUUUUUGAAGAAAACUUUUUCCACAGCUCACACAAGAAAAGAGCUUUUCACCAGUGUGAGUCAUGAUGUGCCGAAUUAAAUUCUGUUUUCGAAUAAAACUUUUUCUACAGGUCACACAUGAAAACGGCUUUUCACCAGUAUGAAUCAUCAUGUGCUUAGUUAAAUUUUGUUUUUCAAUAAAACUUUUUCCACAGGUCACGCAUGUAAACGGCUUUUCACCAGUAUGAAUCAUCAUGUGCUUAGUUAAAUUUUGUUUUUCAAUAAAACUUUUCCCACAGGUCACACAUGAAAACGGCUUUUCACCGGUGUGAGUCAUGAUGUGCCGAAUUAAAUUCUGUUUUCGAAUAAAACUUUUUCUACAGUUCACACA
Xiphophorus hellerii (green swordtail) is the source of this 688-nucleotide long non-coding RNA. RefSeq lists it as uncharacterized. NCBI's taxonomy places the organism in Eukaryota, Metazoa, Chordata, Actinopteri, Cyprinodontiformes, Poeciliidae. The transcript is spliced from 2 exons. The record is from RefSeq and is a predicted model, not a curated record.